This is a non-coding RNA of Acanthosepion pharaonis, 112 nucleotides long. The record is from the annotation of a GenBank genome assembly. NCBI's taxonomy places the organism in Eukaryota, Metazoa, Mollusca, Cephalopoda, Sepiida, Sepiidae.
ACGGCCAUAUUACGUUGGAACAUCGGUUCCCGUACGAUCACCGAAGUUAAGCAAAGACGAAGCUUGUCAGUACCUAGAUAGGUCACCCUUUGGGAAUACCAGGUGCUGUAAU